CUACAGUGGAGGACCCAGGGAGAGUUGGAGACCAGAUCAACCCCCCCACAGACACCAUGACAGACUGUGUGACUGUAAGGGGAGGAGGAGAGAGGGUUUGAGUGGAGGCUGCCUCUGCCAGGAGUCUGCCAAAUCCUACCGCAAGCCCAGGAAGGCCUUUGUGGCAAUGUGCCGAAGGAAAGGAUUCCAGAAUCAGUGGAAAUGCCAGAAGAUCAUGGAAAGGGUAGAAAGGUCAAAGGGUGACUUAGGCAAAAACUUCAUGAGUAUUCCAGUUUAAAGAGUUGACAUUUAAUAAC
Molecule: long non-coding RNA, 296 nt
Organism: Salmo salar (Atlantic salmon)
Lineage: Eukaryota; Metazoa; Chordata; Actinopteri; Salmoniformes; Salmonidae
Source: RefSeq, a predicted model, not a curated record